Molecule: ribosomal RNA, 481 nt
Filed under: uncultured bacterium
Lineage: Bacteria
Description: partial 16S ribosomal RNA
Rfam family: Bacterial small subunit ribosomal RNA
Source: RNAcentral
GACGAACGCUGGCGGCGUGCUUAACACAUGCAAGUCGAGCGAUGAAGUUUCUUCGGAAAUGGAUUAGCGGCGAACGGGUGAGGAACACGUGAAGAAUCUGCCCUCCACUUUGGGAUAACACAGGGAAACCUGUGCUAAUACCGAAUAUUGAAACAUAAGUGGCAUCACUGAGUUUUGAAAGAAUUUCGGUGGAGGAUGACUUCGCGGCCUAUCAGCUAGUUGGUGAGGUAAUGGCUCACCAAGGCAACGACGGGUAGCCGGCCUGAGAGGGCGACCGGCCACACUGGGACUGAGACACGGCCCAGACUCCUACGGGAGGCAGCGGUGGGGAAUAUUGGGCAAUGGAGGAAACUCUGACCCAGCGACGCCGCGUGCGGGAUGAAGGCCUUCGGGUUGUAAACCGCUUUCAGUAGGGAAGAAGCGAAAGUGACGGUACCUACAAAAGAAGCACCGGCUAACUAUGUGCCAGCAGCCGCCGCAG